GAGUUUGAUCCUGGCUCAGAUUGAACGCUGGCGGCAUGCCUUACACAUGCAAGUCGAACGGCAGCAUGAUCUAGCUUGCUAGAUUGAUGGCGAGUGGCGAACGGGUGAGUAAUACAUCGGAACGUGCCCUGUAGUGGGGGAUAACUAGUCGAAAGAUUAGCUAAUACCGCAUACGACCUGAGGGUGAAAGUGGGGGACCGCAAGGCCUCAUGCUAUAGGAGCGGCCGAUGUCUGAUUAGCUAGUUGGUGGGUAAAGGCCCGCCAAGGCGACGAUCAGUAGCUGGUCUGAGAGGACGAUCAGCCACACUGGGACUGAGACACGGCCCAGACUCCUACGGGAGGCAGCAGUGGGGAAUUUUGGACAAUGGGGGCAACCCUGAUCCAGCAAUGCCGCGUGUGUGGAGAAGGCCUCGG
Molecule: ribosomal RNA, 414 nt
Filed under: uncultured microorganism
Description: bacterial SSU rRNA
Rfam family: Bacterial small subunit ribosomal RNA
Source: RNAcentral